UACAGAGGGUGCAAGCGUUGUUCGGAAUUAUUGGGCGUAAAGCGCGUGUAGGCGGCUUGGCAAGUCGGGUGUGAAAUCCCUCAGCUCAACUGAGGAAGUGCGCCCGAAACUGCUUAGCUUGAGUGCCGGAGAGGAUGGCGGAAUUCCCCAAGUAGAGGUGAAAUUCGUAGAUAUGGGGAGGAACACCGGUGGCGAAGGCGGCCAUCUGGACGGCAACUGACGCUGAGACGCGAAAGCGUGGGUAGCAAACAGG
Molecule: ribosomal RNA, 253 nt
Filed under: uncultured bacterium
Lineage: Bacteria
Description: partial 16S ribosomal RNA
Rfam family: Bacterial small subunit ribosomal RNA
Source: RNAcentral